UUAAGUGAAUAAGGGCGCACGGUGGAUGCCUUGGUACUAGGAGCCGAAGAAGGACGGAACUAACACCGAUAUGCUUUGGGGAGCUGUAAGUAAGCUAAGAUCCAAAGAUUUCCGAAUGGGGGAACCCAGCACCUUUCAUAGGGUGUUACCAAUGAGUGAAUACAUAGCUCAUUAGGAGGUACACGCAGGGAACUGAAACAUCUCAUUACCUGCAGGAAGAGAAAGAAAAAUCGAUUCCCUGAGUAGCGGCGAGCGAAACGGGAGGAGCCCAAACCAACGAGCUUGCUUGUUGGGGUUGUAGGACUAGAACGUGAGAAGACAUCAAGAUAGCAGAAGUGGUCUGGAAAGGCCCAUCAAAGAAGGUGACAAUCCUGUACGCGACAUCUUGACGAACUCUACUAGCAUCCUGAGUACGGCGGGACACGAGGAAUCCCGUCGGAAUCCGCCAGGACCAUCUGGCAAGGCUAAAUACUACCUAGUGACCGAUAGUGAACCAGUACCGUGAGGGAAAGGUGAAAAGAACCCCGGGAGGGGAGUGAAAGAGUACCUGAAACCGUGUGCUUACAAGUAGUCAGAGCCCGUUAAUGGGUGAUGGCGUGCCUUUUGUAGAAUGAACCGGCGAGUUACGUUUACAUGCGAGGUUAAGAUGAAGAGUCGGAGCCGUAGCGAAAGCGAGUCUGAAUAGGGCGCAUGAAGUAUGUGGACGUAGACCCGAAACCAAGUGAUCUACCCAUGUCCAGGUUGAAGGUGCGGUAAAACGCACUGGAGGACCGAACCAGGGCACGUUGAAAAGUGCUUGGAUGACUUGUGGGUAGCGGAGAAAUUCCAAACGAACUUGGAGAUAGCUGGUUCUCUCCGAAAUAGCUUUAGGGCUAGCGUCGACAUAAAGAUUCUUGGAGGUAGAGCACUGUUUGGGUGAGGGGUCCAUCCCGGAUUACCAAUCUCAGAUAAACUCCGAAUGCCAAUGAAUUAUGGUCGGCAGUCAGACUGCGAGUGCUAAGAUCCGUAGUCGAAAGGGAAACAGCCCAGACCACCAGCUAAGGUCCCAAAAUAAUUGUUAAGUGGAAAAGGAUGUGGGGUUGCACAGACAACUAGGAUGUUAGCUUAGAAGCAGCUAUUCAUUCAAAGAGUGCGUAAUAGCUCACUAGUCGAGUGACCCUGCGCCGAAAAUGUAACGGGGCUAAACAGAUUACCGAAGCUGUGGAUUGGACCUUAUGGUCCAGUGGUAGGAGAGCGUUCUAAGGGCGGUGAAGCAUGAUCGUAAGGACAUGUGGAGCGCUUAGAAGUGAGAAUGCCGGUAUGAGUAGCGAAAGACGGGUGAGAAUCCCGUCCACCGAAUAACUAAGGUUUCCUGGGGAAGGCUCGUCCUCCCAGGGUUAGUCGGGACCUAAGGCGAGGCCGAUAGGCGUAGUCGAUGGACAACAGGUUGAUAUUCCUGUACUUCUAUAAAUCGUUUGAGCAAUGGAGGGACGCAGGAGGCUAAGAAAAGCGUACGACUGGAAGUGUACGCCCAAGCAGUGAGUCGGCUGAUGAGUCAAAUGCUUAUCACGGAUGCGACAAGCUGUAACGGGGAGGGAAGUUUAGUACCGAAGUUUCUGAUGUCACACUGCCGAGAAAAGCUUCUAGCAAGAUUUAUAGGACCCGUACCGCAAACCGACACAGGUAGUUGAGGAGAGAAUCCUAAGGUGAGCGAGCGAACUCUCGUUAAGGAACUCGGCAAAAUGACCCCGUAACUUCGGGAGAAGGGGUGCUGACAGCGAUGUCAGCCGCAGUGAAUAGGCCCAGGCGACUGUUUAUCAAAAACACAGGUCUCUGCAAAAUCGAAAGAUGACGUAUAGGGGCUGACGCCUGCCCGGUGCUGGAAGGUUAAGAGGAGAGGUUAGCGCAAGCGAAGCUUUGAAUUGAAGCCCCAGUAAACGGCGGCCGUAACUAUAACGGUCCUAAGGUAGCGAAAUUCCUUGUCGGGUAAGUUCCGACCCGCACGAAAGGCGUAACGAUUUGGGCACUGUCUCAACGAUGGACUCGGUGAAAUCAUAGUACCUGUGAAGAUGCAGGUUACCCGCGACAGGACGGAAAGACCCCAUGGAGCUUUACUGUAGUUUGAUAUUGAGUGUUUGUGUCACAUGUACAGGAUAGGUAGGAGCUGAAGAAUCCGGGACGCCAGUUUCGGAGGAGGCAACGGUGGGAUACUACCCUUGUGACAUGACCACUCUAACCCGCACCCCUAACCGGGGUGGGAGACAGUGUCAGACGGGCAGUUUGACUGGGGCGGUCGCCUCCUAAAAUGUAACGGAGGCGCCCAAAGGUUCCCUCAGAAUGGUUGGAAAUCAUUCGAAGAGUGUAAAGGCAGAAGGGAGCUUGACUGCGAGACCUACAAGUCGAGCAGGGACGAAAGUCGGGCUUAGUGAUCCGGUGGUACCGUAUGGAAGGGCCAUCGCUCAACGGAUAAAAGCUACCCUGGGGAUAACAGGCUUAUC
This 2477-nucleotide ribosomal RNA is filed under the name human metagenome. RNAcentral's name for it is "bacterial LSU rRNA". It matches the Rfam family "Bacterial large subunit ribosomal RNA", at positions 1 to 2487 of the family's 2925-position model. The record is from RNAcentral.